This 25-nucleotide ribosomal RNA is filed under the name Elachista nigra. RNAcentral's name for it is "partial 28S ribosomal RNA". Lineage: Eukaryota; Phaeophyceae; Ectocarpales; Chordariaceae. RNAcentral also lists the same sequence under 1 other name. The record is from RNAcentral.
UUCGGACCUCCGAUCAAGCAAGAGG